UACAGAGGGUGCAAGCGUUAAUCGGAAUCAUUGGGCGUAAAGAGCGCGCAGGCGGCUUGGCAAGUCGGGUGUGAAAUCCCGGGGCUCAACCCCGUGACUGCAUUCGAUACUGUCAGGCUAGAGGUAGGUAGGGGAGAUCGGAAUUCCUGGUGUAGCGGUGAAAUGCGCAGAUAUCAGGAGGAACACCGGUGGCGAAGGCGGAUCUCUGGGCCUUACCUGACGCUCAGGCGCGAAAGCUAGGGGAGCGAACGGG
This 253-nucleotide ribosomal RNA is filed under the name uncultured Actinomycetes bacterium. Its description in RNAcentral is "uncultured actinobacterium partial 16S ribosomal RNA". It matches the Rfam family "Bacterial small subunit ribosomal RNA", at positions 524 to 776 of the family's 1533-position model. Lineage: Bacteria; Bacillati; Actinomycetota; Actinomycetes. The record is from RNAcentral.